This 1508-nucleotide long non-coding RNA is filed under the name Lingula anatina. RNAcentral describes it as "uncharacterized LOC106177913, transcript variant X2". Lineage: Eukaryota; Metazoa; Brachiopoda; Lingulata; Lingulida; Lingulidae. The record is from RNAcentral.
ACCUAAAUAGAGAAGGACAAGUAACGCGGAGAAAGAUCAAAGGAUAAUCGGCUUAGCGCGAGCUCUUCGCGAAACGAUGUGCGUUCGGAUCACGUGACCUCCCGUACAGGUAGCGAGCAUAUCGCGGCUGUUGAUGACUUUUUGUGUCAUUUGGACAGGUAGCUGGUGAUAACGCGAGGAAAACGUUCGGGUGGAUGAGUCAAAACACUUAUAGAGAUAAAAUAGAGGAAACGCAUUUGCCAAUGAAAAAGUGAGGGGCAUAUUUUGGCUGCCAAAAGGUCUGAACUGGACAUCCGUCUUCAUCAGUGUAAAGCUAUUGGGCAGACUAGAGGAAGAUGGAAGACUACCUGGAAUAAUACGAUUAACCCUCAGAAAAUUAGAUAAAGAAGGGCAGUGGUCUAAGAGAGAAAGUAGACAAUGCAGAGUUCCUAGUCAUGUUUUCGCAUUAGAUAAUUCUGAAAGGAAGAAGGACAGACUGUUGCAGAUUGCCAUGGAAUUAUUCCACAAGAUCAUAGACACAAAAAAAAAACAUUCCACCUAACUUUGCUCAACUUUGGUUUUACCAAAUUUGAUGUAACACCAACAUAUGCCAGUACAAUUAAUGCAUAUUUUUCCACUAGUGCCGCACAUACCAGUUCAACAGGAACAAUAGCAAACUUAAAGGAAAGACAAAAGCAGACUUUUGAUGAGCGGUCACAGCAGCCACAGAACCCUCCACUAAGUCAGUCAUUUCACAGUCCACCUGGUAAAGAAAGCAAAAUGUGUAGUAAAUCAAAUACCGGGAUGAGUUCAAUUUUAAGAUGGACAGAAAGAAAGGAAAAAAGAACUGAAGUGCCAAGUCACUGCCAUGAUGUUGACACAAAGAGAUUGAAAUUGGAUGUGCCAGGUACAGUGGUUUCUUUUCCUGAUCACAUUGAUAGGUCUGUAUUUGAUGCUUUACCUCCAGAACUGAAAUAAGAAGUGUUAGCCAAUGCAGAUUUGUUAAAAGCCCAAAUUCUUGACUCCAGCCUUAAGGCCAGUGUCCAUAAGGCCACGGACACAACCCAAUAUUGUGAUAGCAAUAAUGGAAAGGCUGGAAACAUGUUACAAGGCACAAAGACUGAAGUUGAAUCAACAACCAAGGAUACAUGCAUGGAAAAAGACUUGACUGUUGGUGCUGAGAUAGAAGGUUCAAUUUUGAGUCCUUGUCAAAUGUCAUUUUCCAAGAAAAAUGAUGAGGAAAAUUCAUUACAUUUUGAUAGUGGCACAUUGGAUACAACAGACAAAACAUUGAACAUCAUGGUCCCUCCUGACAUUGACAAAUCUGUUUUCACACAGUUGCCUCCAGAUAUUCAAAAGGACUUGUUAACCCAGUGGAAUCAGAAAAUAUCCACAAAUUCUCAUGUUAAACAGAAAUCCAAAACAACUAAGUCACCUUCAUUGCUGAAAUAUUUCAAAAAACUUGCAGUAUGUUAUGAUCUUUAUGUUAUAUGUAAACACAUUACUGUUAAUAAAUGAUAUUGAUUUAA